AUUGAACGCUGGCGGCAGGCCUAACACAUGCAAGUCGAGCGAGCGGCGGACGGGCGAGUAAUGUAUGGGGAUCUGCCUGAUGGAGGGGGAUACCUACUGGAAACGGUAGCUAAUACCGCAUACCAUCAGAUGAACCCAUGUGGUAUUCUCUUGUAGGUGAGGUAACGGCUUACCUAGGCGACGAACCCUAGCUGGUCUGAGAGGAUGAUGCGCCACACGGGGACUGAGACACGGCCCAGACUCCUACGGGAGGCAGCAGUGGGGAAUAUUGCACAAUGGGCGCAAGCCUGAUGCAGCCAUGCCGCGUGUAUGAAGAAGGCCUUCGGGUUGUAAAGUACUUUCAGUCGGGAGGCGUUACCGACAGAAGAAGCACCGGCUAACUCCGUGCCAGCAGCCGCGGUAAUUC
RNAcentral lists this ribosomal RNA (406 nucleotides) under uncultured bacterium. RNAcentral describes it as "partial 16S ribosomal RNA". It matches the Rfam family "Bacterial small subunit ribosomal RNA", at positions 30 to 526 of the family's 1533-position model. The record is from RNAcentral.